CGACUGUAACUAUUUUCCCUCUUCUGUCUGGUCAGGUCCCUCCCUGCAGGACAGGACCAGGGUUCUGAGGAAAGCUCCAGGGGAUCAGCAGUCUGUUCAGAGGUCCCAGUCUGUCAUUCUGGACCAAGACCCUGAUCAGGAGGUUGUGACCACCACUAAAACUGAGUCAGCAGAGCCUGAGGAAGUGAGGGAACUGCUGAUCGUCAAGGUGGAGGGAGCUAUAGACACCAGACCUGCUGAUCCAGAAGAUCCCUGCAUCAGUGCCAGAGGGGAGCUCCCUGACGUCUUGAAAGAUGCCCAAGAUGGCCAGCCAGCCAGCUGCAGCAAAACGGAGGUGCAGGGAUGUCUGACAAACACAAGCAGAGUGGAAUGCAAGGAGGAAAGGAUGGAC
Long non-coding RNA from Parambassis ranga (Indian glassy fish), 391 nucleotides. The record is from Ensembl. NCBI's taxonomy places the organism in Eukaryota, Metazoa, Chordata, Actinopteri, Ambassidae.